RNAcentral lists this ribosomal RNA (253 nucleotides) under uncultured bacterium. RNAcentral describes it as "partial 16S ribosomal RNA". It matches the Rfam family "Bacterial small subunit ribosomal RNA", at positions 524 to 776 of the family's 1533-position model. The record is from RNAcentral.
UACGUAGGGGGCGAGCGUUGUCCGGAGUGACUGGGCGUAAAGCGCGCGCAGGCGGUGACCCACGCCGGUCGUGAAAGCCCCCGGCUCAACCGGGGCAGGUCGACCGGGACGGGGUGACUGGAGGGUGUCAGAGGGGGGUGGAACGCCGUGUGGAGCAGUGAAAUGCGUAGAGAUGCGGCAGAACACCGGAGGCGAAGGCGGCCCCCUGGGGCACAUCUGACGCUGAGGCGCGAAGGCGCGGGGAGCGAACGGG